GGAAGGAUCAUUAACAAGAAUGUUGUGUAGUAGUGUGGCAACACACUCUCACAAAAACAUUAGCCCGGCCGCAAGGCUGAGGAUUGGAGGCUUUCGAGUCUCCGAAUAUAUACGCGUGUUUGUGUGACUGUUUGAUGGCAAAUUUAAUAGACAACUUUUAACAAUGGAUCUCUUGGCUCUUGCAACGAUGAAGAACGCAGUGAAAUGCGAAAUGUAAUGCGAUUUGCAUGAAUCUGUGAGUCAUCAAGUUUUUGAACGCAUCUUGCACUCUUGGCGCAAGUCAAGAGUAUACCUGUUUGAGAAUCGUAUCCUUUUCAACUUUCAAGCUUUUGGCGGUUGGACUUGAUCCAGAGGUAGCUCUGGAUUUAAAUGAAGUAGAGGAGUGUGCUUGAGUUUGCGCUCGGCUCCGUGUGCCAGAGACCGCUAGGUCUACCUCACAGAGUCGCAGUGUGGCCCUCGCACAAUCAGCUCCCCUUCAAACCCACUCUUUUUUAUGAUCUCAAAUCAGGUAAGGCUACCCGCUGAACUUAAGCAUAUCAGUAAGCGGAGGAAAAGAAACUAACAAGGAUUCCCCUAGUAACGGCGAGUGAAGCGGGAACAGCUCAAAUUUAAAAUCUGCCAGCAAUGGCCGAGUUGUAAUUUAAAGAGGCGUUUUCGGAAGGUUGGUGUUCGUUCAAGUCCCUUGGAAGAGGGCAUCACAGAGGGUGAGAAUCCCGUCUGGAUGAGCAUCCCAACCUUUCAUAUGAGGCGCUCUCUACGAGUCGAGUUGUUUGGGAAUGCAGCUCAAAAUGGGUGGUAAAUUUCAUCUAAGGCUAAAUACAGGCAAGAGACCGAUAGCGAACAAGUACCGUGAGGGAAAGAUGAAAAGCACCUUGAAAAGGGAGUUAAAUAGCGCGUGAAAUUGUUAAAAGGGAAACGAUUGAGAUUAGUACUGUCCAGCAAUGGACGGUCAGCAUCAGUUGUGGUGGCCAGAUGCGGGUACGAGGAAGGUGGUGUCGGAGUUCGCUUCGGCUCUUUAUAGACUCGUACAACGAUGGUCGCUGCGACUGAGGUGCUGCAGCCGGGUUCACCGGCGGGCAUGAGCCUGAUCCCAACGGUCAAGACAGCAUGCUGAUUUGGCCGGUAAGGUCUUGCUACAUCCUGCCGCGCUCGGCCUCAGGAUGCUGACGAAAUGGUCUCAAACGACCCGUCUUGAAACACGGACCAAGGAGUCUAACAUGUAUGCGAGUAUUUGGGUGGCAAACCCGAAUGCGUAAUGAAAGUGAACGGUGGGAGGGGUCAAACCUGCACCAUCGACCGGCCUUGAUAUCUUUUGAUAGGUCUGAGUAAGAGCAUACCUGUUGGGACCCGAAAGGCGGUGAACUAUGCCUGGAUAGGAUGAAGCCAGAGGAAACUCUGGUGGAGGUCCGUAGCCGUUCUGACGUGCAAAUCGAUGGUCAAAUCUGGGUAUAGGGGCGAAAGACUAAUCGAACCGCCUAGUAGCUGGUUCCCUC
This 1493-nucleotide unclassified non-coding RNA is filed under the name uncultured fungus. RNAcentral's name for it is "sequence contains 18S rRNA gene, ITS1, 5.8S rRNA gene, ITS2, 28S rRNA gene". The stretch from base 495 to 1493 matches the Rfam family "Eukaryotic large subunit ribosomal RNA", at positions 1 to 961 of the family's 3401-position model. Lineage: Eukaryota; Fungi. The record is from RNAcentral.